Molecule: long non-coding RNA, 594 nt
Filed under: Aquila chrysaetos chrysaetos
Lineage: Eukaryota; Metazoa; Chordata; Aves; Accipitriformes; Accipitridae
Description: lncRNA (ENSACCG00020012274.1)
Source: RNAcentral
CCGAAAAUGGACUUUUGCCCUUCGACGCCUGCAUAGCGUGGCUCGAAAGUGUCAAGUCCAUCAAGCCCUGGGUGGAGUGGAUCAGUCUGGACAACUACCAGCUUCAGUUCUACCAGAAGAAGAAGGAACUCCUAGACAGCGUGUUACAUCGCUGGACCUGCACCAACAUUGUCUACAUGUUGAUUGACCACCUGCUGCACAACGAGACACAAAUAGAGGAGAAACUCCUGAGGCUGGUGGUGAAGCAGUUCAUCUUCCUCUGGAACCGCCUCUACGCGAGCCAGCGAUUUGAGCCGGAGAAGACUUUUUGAUUUGGUGACAAAAGUGCUGAAGAAAUGCAACGAGAAUGCUGAUGUUGUGUAUCUGGUGAAAGGUGUGAAGGAAUGCAAGAGCUGCCUGCGGGAGAUCACAGACCCGGCCGAGCUGCCCUGCAGCCACAUCUUCUGCACUCGCUGCAUCCUGGAGUGGACGAACAAGCAGUGUAAGAUCUGCAAGGAGGAAUUCCCGGAGGAUUACACACCCAUGGCUUCAGAGGCCACAAGGUAUCCCGGCGCCGGCAAAAACCUGCCUGCAUCCAGUUCUUCGUGUUAAAUA